AUCAUUGUGUACUAAAUUCCUCUGUUUAUCCAUUAAAUAAGUACAGAAAAGGCAGUAACAGUGCAAGCUUCCCCACAUCACUCUACAAAGUGCCUCAACUCUGACCUAGAGAGAUCACCUAUAAGAUUGAGAGGUUAAUUCUGUCGCCAUCACCACUGAAUCUUGGUCUCUC
RNAcentral lists this small RNA (172 nucleotides) under Chelonoidis abingdonii (Abingdon island giant tortoise). Its description in RNAcentral is "TUC338 (ENSCABG00000008890.1)". The record is from RNAcentral. Lineage: Eukaryota; Metazoa; Chordata; Testudines; Testudinidae.